RNAcentral lists this transfer RNA (49 nucleotides) under Clethra ferruginea. RNAcentral's name for it is "partial tRNA-Leu". Lineage: Eukaryota; Viridiplantae; Streptophyta; Magnoliopsida; Ericales; Clethraceae. The record is from RNAcentral.
NAAUCCGUCGACUUUAGAAAUCGUGAGGGUUCAAGUCCCUCUAUCCCCA